GUAAUGUAUGGGGAUCUGCCUGAUGGCGGGGGAUAACUACUGGAAACGGUAGCUAAUACCGCAUAAUGUCUACGGACCAAAGCGGGGGACCUCCGGGCCUCGCGCCAUCAGAUGAACCCAUAUGGGAUUAGCUAGUAGGUGAGGUAACGGCUCACCUAGGCGACGAUCCCUAGCUGGUCUGAGAGGAUGACCAGCCACACUGGGACUGAGACACGGCCCAG
This 221-nucleotide ribosomal RNA is filed under the name uncultured bacterium. Its description in RNAcentral is "partial 16S ribosomal RNA". It matches the Rfam family "Bacterial small subunit ribosomal RNA", at positions 110 to 334 of the family's 1533-position model. The record is from RNAcentral.